Molecule: ribosomal RNA, 253 nt
Filed under: uncultured bacterium
Lineage: Bacteria
Also listed under: 1 other name
Description: partial 16S ribosomal RNA
Rfam family: Bacterial small subunit ribosomal RNA
Source: RNAcentral
UACGUAGGGUGCAAGCGUUGUCCGGAAUUAUUGGGCGUAAAGAGCUCGUAGGCGGCUAGUCACGUCGGAUGUGAAAACCCGAGGCUCAACCUCGGGCCUGCAUUCGAUACGGGCUGGCUAGAGUACUGCAGGGGAGACUGGAAUUCCUGGUGUAGCGGUGAAAUGCGCAGAUAUCAGGAGGAACACCGGUGGCGAAGGCGGGUCUCUGGGCAGUAACUGACGCUGAGGAGCGAAAGCGUGGGGAGCAAACAGG